ACGUCCUACGGGGGGCAGCAGUGGGGGAUAUUGCACAAUGGGGGAACCCUGAUGCAGCGACGCCGCUUGGGUGGAGCAGCGCCUCGGCGCGUAAAGCCCUGUCAGCAGGGAAGAAAAUGACGGUACCUGAAGAAGAAGCCCCGGCUAACUACGUGCCAGCAGCCGCGGUAAUACGUAGGGGGCAAGCGUUAUCCGGAUUUACUGGGUGUAAAGGGGGCGCAGACGGCGAUGCAAGCCAGGAGUGAAAGCCCGGUGCCCCACCCCGGGACUGCUCUUGGCACUGCGUGGCUGGAGUGCAGGAGGGG
Molecule: ribosomal RNA, 305 nt
Filed under: uncultured bacterium
Lineage: Bacteria
Description: bacterial SSU rRNA
Rfam family: Bacterial small subunit ribosomal RNA
Source: RNAcentral